GUGCCAGCCGCCGCGGUAAUACCGGCAGCCCGAGUGAUGGCCGAUCUUAUUGGGCCUAAAGCGUCCGUAGCUGGCCUCGCAAGUCCGUCGGGAAAUCCAGUAGCCCAACUACUGGGCGUCCGGCGGAAACUACAAGGCUUGGGACCGGAAGGCUCGAGGGGUACGUUCGGGGUAGGAGUGAAAUCCUGUAAUCCCGUCCGGACCACCGAUGGCGAAAGCACUUCUAGAAAACGGAUCCGACAGUGAGGGACGAAAGCUAAGAUCGCGAACCGGAUUAGAUACCGAGUAGUCC
This 292-nucleotide ribosomal RNA is filed under the name uncultured bacterium. Its description in RNAcentral is "partial 16S ribosomal RNA". It matches the Rfam family "Archaeal small subunit ribosomal RNA", at positions 455 to 747 of the family's 1478-position model. The record is from RNAcentral.